RNAcentral lists this ribosomal RNA (544 nucleotides) under uncultured bacterium. Its description in RNAcentral is "bacterial SSU rRNA". It matches the Rfam family "Bacterial small subunit ribosomal RNA", at positions 777 to 1319 of the family's 1533-position model. The record is from RNAcentral.
AAUAGAUACCCAGGUAGUCCACGCCGUAAACGAUGAGUGCUAAGUGUUGGGGGGUUUCCGCCCCUCAGUGCUGCAGCUAACGCAUUAAGCACUCCGCCUGGGGAGUACGGUCGCAAGACUGAAACUCAAAGGAAUUGACGGGGGCCCGCACAAGCGGUGGAGCAUGUGGUUUAAUUCGAAGCAACGCGAAGAACCUUACCAGGUCUUGACAUCCCGGUGACCACUAUGGAAACAUAGUUUCCCCUUCGGGGGCAACGGUGACAGGUGGUGCAUGGUUGUCGUCAGCUCGUGUCGUGAGAUGUUGAGUUAAGUCCCGCAACGAGCGCAACCCUUAUUCUUGGUUGCCAUCAUUCAGUUGGGCACUCUAAGGAGACUGCCGGUGAUAAACCGGAGGAAGGUGGGGAUGACGUCAAAUCAUCAUGCCCCUUAUGACCUGGGCUACACACGUGCUACAAUGGACGGUACAAACGGUUGCCAACCCGCGAGGGGGAGCUAAUCCGAUAAAACCGUUCUCAGUUCGGAUUGUAGGCUGCAACUCGCCUAC